RNAcentral lists this long non-coding RNA (238 nucleotides) under Mytilus galloprovincialis (Mediterranean mussel). The record is from RNAcentral. Lineage: Eukaryota; Metazoa; Mollusca; Bivalvia; Mytilida; Mytilidae.
CACGUGGUUUUAUCUCAUCAUCAAAUAAGUUGUCGGCUUAAUCAAUUACCAAGUUGAAUUUAACAUGUCGACUUCUUAUUACCAUGUCAAUAUAUUUAUAUCAGCAAGUCGACAUUGUAAUGCAACUUUUUCUUCAUCAUUCCGACAAGUUGAUUCCUCAUGAUAAUUUCAUUCCAGGUUAUUACACACAACUUAACUAAUAAUUCCGACUUAUUUGCAACAAAAUAACUUUCCAAGG